CAUGUUUUCUACCAACAAGCAAGGAAUAACACGUGAAUUUUUUCUGGUUUAUUAGUUCCCACUAGAGCAUCUAUUAUUCUGUCGAGGAAGAAGUAAAGAAUAAUUGGUGUAUUUUUUGUGAUUGCCAACUGAUGAGACUAUCUGGGAAAGAAUAGUUCUCGAUGUAAUUCUUCAUGUGCCUACCACAUUGACAUUCUGUUCGGCUAUUUUUUUGGUUGUGUCGAAUAUAGUUUUCAAGCAAGUCCUGCACAUCAACCGAAAAUAAUAUAGUUUUCAAGCAAGUCCUGCUAUUUUUUUCCGGUUGCGUCGAAUAUCUACCAUUUUUAGAGAAGUAAAAGUCAGGCAAAUGACAUCUUAGGCACACAUUAGUAGGUGGUAGUGAGUAUUUUAGGAUGAUCAGGAUUAUGGAAAUAGACUUUCCAAAAAUCUGUUUGUCCACAAUAAUAGGCAAGUCACACAUUAAACUAUAGCAAGUCUCUUGCAGUUGUCAGGCAAAUCCUGAUUUUUGGAGUUGUCGCAAGUCACACGUAAAAUACUUUGCAAGGCCGAUAUAGUUGUCAAGCAAGUCCUGCUUUUCUCCUAUGCGCACCUUUUUUAAGGUGGUACAAAAGGUUUUUGGGAUGUUCAGAAUGUGGAAACAGUAUAUUUUUAAAAACUUUGUUGUCCACAAAAUAUUAGGCAACUCACACAUAAAACUGAAGCAAGUCCUAUACAGGGUGUCAAGCAAAUCCUGAUCUUUGGUACCCAGAACGGAAUCAAACCGAAACUACCUUUUCAUUUGUAUUCAUUUUCUUAGUAAUAAAUGGUUUUUUCGUUGUUGUCCAACAAAUAACAGCUCAAGAAGGAGUUUUCCGGGUGUGUGGAUGAUAGUUUGUUCAGCAGCAUGGACCAUGCCAUGAAAUUGGUGACGGCAAGACUCCCAGACUCAUAUGACAAAAAGGAAGGAGUUACAGGAGAUGGAACCACUGGUGGGGCGGUAGAAUUUUUUUCUGUUGAGGGCGAUAGUGUGUAGGAGCAACCUUUCUUGUUUAGGACAAUGUGUGGACAUGUAUUUACUUUUUUGGGGUGUGUGCUCCAGGGGACUAGCCAGCCAACGGUUGCUGGCUAGCCGUGUCCAUUAAAGAAUAGGCAUGAGACGCUAUCAACCAAGCUUUUCAAGUUGUAGAGCAUGCUUGGUGAGGUGCUAUCGCACAGGUUGACAUUCGGUGGCGCGAUUCACACGUACUACUCCGUCGCUGAGUGCAAGCCGGCGCGCCCGACUAGAAGAAACCUGCACCUUCUCAAUAAUGGUGUUUUUUCUUUGGAUGAACCCAGGCAUUAUCAAUUACGAUUUUAUAUUUCUUUAUAAAGGGAGUACCCAGGAGGCUGACAAUGAAUCUGAAUACAUCCGAGAAGAAAGGACGGAG
Molecule: ribosomal RNA, 1406 nt
Filed under: Triticum aestivum (bread wheat)
Lineage: Eukaryota; Viridiplantae; Streptophyta; Magnoliopsida; Poales; Poaceae
Description: partial small subunit ribosomal RNA
Source: RNAcentral